This 509-nucleotide ribosomal RNA is filed under the name uncultured bacterium. RNAcentral's name for it is "bacterial SSU rRNA". It matches the Rfam family "Bacterial small subunit ribosomal RNA", at positions 19 to 518 of the family's 1533-position model. The record is from RNAcentral.
UCGGCUCAGAUUGAACGCUGGCGGCAGGCCUAACACAUGCAAGUCGAACGGUAACAGGAAGAAGCUUGCUCUUGCUGACGAGUGGCGGACGGGUGAGUAAUGUCUGGGAAACUGCCUGAUGGAGGGGGAUAACUACUGGAAACGGUAGCUAAUACCGCAUAACGUCGCAAGACCAAAGAGGGGGACCUUCGGGCCUCUUGCCAUCGGAUGUGCCCAGAUGGGAUUAGCUUGUUGGUGGGGUAACGGCUCACCAAGGCGACGAUCCCUAGCUGGUCUGAGGGGAUGACCAGCCACACUGGAACUGAGACACGGUCCAGACUCCUACGGGAGGCAGCAGUGGGGAAUAUUGCACAAUGGGCGCAAGCCUGAUGCAGCCAUGCCGCCGUGUAUGAAGAAGGCCUUCGGGUUGUAAAGUACUUUCAGCGGGGAGGAAGGGAGUAAAGUUAAUACCUUUGCUCAUUGACGUUACCCGCAGAAGAAGCACCGGCUAACUCCGUGCCAGCAGCGGC